CUCAAUCCAGUUCUGAGUUCAGCUGCUUAUAGCCAGUGGUCAAUGUACCCUGUUUCCAGGGUACUGGUCCCUGGUGCUUCCAUGGCAGCUCUUCUUAUGUGACCAUGGGGAUUCUAGGUCUGCUAUCCCAGCAGCAGCAGCAGAGGGGUCUCUGGCUCAUUAUAGACAGUGCUGUCUUUAACCUCCUGGGAAGACAGUAUCGGCAUGGGAAAGCAACCAGCCCCCAGGAACAGGGCACAUUCUUCCUCAACAUUCCAAUCCCAAACUCGCAGAGAGGGUCAGUGACUUGUCCACCAGGCUCAGCAGCUGUGUGCCCCAGAUGCCUCUCUGUCAAACAGAAACAGAGAACAUGGCUUUCCUUCUCUAUACCCCAGCAAGGAAAGAUCUUGUUGCCUCCCGGAGCCUGGGUGGAACCUCCCCUGCUGCCUGCCCCAAGGGCUUCUCACUGCAGCGUGUUGACAGCACGGGAGGUGCGGCCCUGGCCCCCUCCCCGUGCCGGUUCCAUAUGGGGGAGCCGGGCACUGGAGCCCCCUCCUGCACCGGCCCCCAGGGGAGGAAGCCGCCUGUCAGGCCGCCUCGGCGUGUCAAAUCCUCUUGCUGCCUAAUUGUGAGACGGCGGCGUUUAAAGAAACGCUUUUCUGGCCGCCUGCCACACCGCAAACUGCUUGGUAUAAUUUUAUUAUUAAGCAGAGAGAAAAAGAGAAGGGGCUGGGGGAGAGAGAAAGGGGAGAGCAGAGGAAAUUGCUUCGUCCAAGUCAGCUGGUGGAGUAUUCCGCUCAAUGUGAAAGCGGGGGACAGCUUUCCAGUUGGCAAGCUGACUCCGUUAAUUGCGCAUUCAGUCUCUACUUAGGGUAAUUGGAACGAAGCGGGGCCUAGCUCUGACAAUUAGGGUCUGCGACUAGGCCAUUAACCCUUUCCGCAACCAGCCCCCGCCCCAUCGACAGCAGGCGGGGUAGGGCGCGGGCGAGGACCCCACACUGAGGUGCGGGCGGCAGCACGGAGCUGGCUGGGGAGCCGCGCGGAGGGCGGGGUCUGCGGCCUCUCCGCCACUGCUACAGAUGUUUCGGCCAUGUAAGACAAAGGCAGAGCGCGGCCGUCGCCGGGAGAAAAUCCGCAGGACUCCCUCAGGGGCAGCCGCCCUCGGAAGUCAGCCGAGUGAAGCAGCUGUUCCUUGCACACUCCACUUGACCAAAGAUGAUGAUAAAUGAGGCCAGGGCUGCGUCAGGGACGCGGCGGCGAGGGCCGUGCAGGGCGGGGCGUGGGGCCCGCAGCCCCCGCACUCCGCUCGGCUAAGUGCGCGCCCGCAAAGGACAGCGUCCGAGCGCCCCCCGCCCGGCACACCUUCCCGAAGGUCCGCACCCUUCCUCGAACGCGGGGGUCCCCGUGGCGUCCUCGCAUCCUCCCACAGCAUGCGCGCCCCAAACCUAUUAAUGCUCGUAAAUAAUGAAUAAAGGAGCGCUUCCUACA
This is a long non-coding RNA of Peromyscus californicus insignis, 1467 nucleotides long. RefSeq lists it as uncharacterized. The record is from RefSeq and is a predicted model, not a curated record. Lineage: Eukaryota; Metazoa; Chordata; Mammalia; Rodentia; Cricetidae. The transcript has 2 exons.